Strongylocentrotus purpuratus (purple sea urchin) is the source of this 472-nucleotide long non-coding RNA. RefSeq lists it as uncharacterized. The transcript is spliced from 2 exons. The record is from RefSeq and is a predicted model, not a curated record. NCBI's taxonomy places the organism in Eukaryota, Metazoa, Echinodermata, Echinoidea, Camarodonta, Strongylocentrotidae.
UUCUAAUUGGGCAAAAGUAAAAAUAAGGGGAAGGAGUAGAAAAUACAAAUGCUCAUUGGUCAGUUGUGGAUAUUCCUGCUACUACUUUCUUUGGUGACUCAGCUCCUUUACCAAGAAAACAAAUGUUUUGUCUUCCAGCUCAAACUGGUAUGCAGAGGGAUAAUUAAUUUGCCUGUUUUCCCACUAUUUGCCUGUUCAUAAUCAGUCAACACAAACACUGGUUGAAUAUGGGCUUUGUCUACUAACAUCCUAUUCUUGGAAUCUUUGGACCAGUGGAAAAUGACCAGGUAUCAUCUCACUGUAGUUCGCUGACCUCAGUUAGGAAGAAAGAUGAUGAAAUAGGAGAGGGAAAGAGAAAGAGAGAGAGAGAGAGAGAGAGAGGGGUGGGGGUUACCUGGUUUAAAGGGAGAUAUCUCUACUUCGCUACAUCUUCCCCUUGGCCACUUGAAUGGCGACCUCGCCAUUCCCCAAA